GCAAGUCGAGGGGUAACAGGAGUGCUUGCACUCGCUGACGACCGGCGAACGGGUGCGUAACGCGUAUAGAAUCUGCCUUGUACAGGAGGAUAGCCUUUAGAAAUGAAGAUUAAUACUCCAUAAUAUUGGGAAGUGGCAUCACUAUCUAAUUAAACAUUUAUGGGUACAAGAUGACUAUGCGUCCUAUUAGCUAGAUGGUAAGGUAACGGCUUACCAUGGCAACGAUAGGUAGGGGGUCUGAGAGGAUUAUC
Molecule: ribosomal RNA, 251 nt
Filed under: uncultured bacterium
Lineage: Bacteria
Description: partial 16S ribosomal RNA
Rfam family: Bacterial small subunit ribosomal RNA
Source: RNAcentral